GACGAACGCUGGCGGCGUGCUUAACACAUGCAAGUCGAACGGAAAGGCCUGCUUUCCCUUGUGGAUUGCGGGUACUCGAGUGGCGAACGGGUGAGUAACACGUGAGUGAUCUGCCCCCAACUUGGGUAUAAGCCUGGGAAACUGGGUCUAAUUCCCGAUAGGACUGCAGGGUGGUGCCUGUGGUGGAAAACGAUUUUCUAGUGGUUGGGGAUGAGCUCGCGGCCUAUCAGCUUGUUGGUGGGGUAAUGGCCUACCAAGGCGGCGACGGGUAGCCGGCCUGAGAGGGUGGACGGCCACAUUGGGACUGAGAUACGGCCCAGACUCCUACGGGAGGCAGCAGUGGGGAAUAUUGCACAAUGGGCGGAAGCCUGAUGCAGCGACGCCGCGUGGGGGAUGACGGCCUUCGGGUUGUAAACUCCUUUCGAUCGCGAGGAAGCCACCUGGUUGGAAGGGUGGUGACGGUAGUGGUAGAAGAAGCACCGGCUAACUACGUG
This 494-nucleotide ribosomal RNA is filed under the name uncultured bacterium. Its description in RNAcentral is "partial 16S ribosomal RNA". It matches the Rfam family "Bacterial small subunit ribosomal RNA", at positions 28 to 507 of the family's 1533-position model. The record is from RNAcentral.